UUCUCUUGCUCUCUCUUUUUCUAUUCGAAUUCGAAGUUGGAACUAUCUCUCCCUCCCGCGCCUUCGGGUUCUUCUAACGCAUCUUCCUCUUCGAUUCCAACGCGCAUCUUUCCCCAUCGCAUCGUCUUCGAUUCGAACACGCAACUUUCUCUAUCAUCUUCGAUUUGGAAUUACAAUGGUUGGUUUCACUCUACUUUUUUUGAAUUUAGGGUUACAUGAGUGAUUUUUUAUAAGUGAUUUGAUUUCAUGCUUUUGCUGCUUUCAAUUAUUCUCACUUUUGUAUUUAUUAUUGAAUUUGGAACGUAAGUUGUGUAUUUAUUGUGGGAAUAAUUCUGAAUAAUUCUUGGUUAGUUUUGUAUUUAUUGGAUUUGGAACACAAAAUUUGAUUUCAGUAAAAUCUGUGGUGUUUUGUUUUUGCUGAAAUCACAGGAGGACAUGGAACGCAAAUUUGAGCAAAGGUUUGCUAGAAUGGAAGCUCAAAAUGCAGAAACCGCCAAGAAAAUUUUCGGAAUCUUGGAGAGUUUAAUUCAGAAGGUCAACUCGAUCGAGAAGCCUCUUGCUGAUAGUGCUG
Molecule: long non-coding RNA, 571 nt
Filed under: Trifolium pratense (red clover)
Lineage: Eukaryota; Viridiplantae; Streptophyta; Magnoliopsida; Fabales; Fabaceae
Description: long non-coding RNA (TPRA_LNC009902)
Source: RNAcentral